CAUGAAUCAUGAUGUCAGUCACAAUUUAUUCUUCUCAACUGAAAGAGCUUUACAACCCGAAGGCCUUCUUCACUCACGCGGCAUUGCUGGAUCAGGCUUGCGCCCAUUGUCCAAAAUUCCCCACUGCUGCCUCCCGUAGGAGUCUGGGCCGUGUCUCAGUCCCAGUGUGGCUGGUCGUCCUCUCAGACCAACUACUGAUCGUCGCCUUGGUAGCCAUUACCCUACCAACUAGCUAAUCAGACAUCGGCCGCUCCAAAAGCAUAAGGUCUUUCGAUCCCCUGCUUUCCUCCCCCCGUG
This 297-nucleotide ribosomal RNA is filed under the name uncultured Nitrosomonas sp. B4. Its description in RNAcentral is "partial 16S ribosomal RNA". The record is from RNAcentral. Lineage: Bacteria; Pseudomonadati; Pseudomonadota; Betaproteobacteria; Nitrosomonadales; Nitrosomonadaceae.